UUCCUCUCUAAAAAUUUCCAUGGUAUUGAGCUUGGAUGUUUUGCAAAACCAUUAGCAUGAGCUCAUGGCUUACGUGAUUUCUCCCUUCCAAACUCCCUAUAAAUACUCAUGAAAUCUGCUCAUACUCCUCACUCAACCAAAUUCGAUUUACAGAAAAAUAAGUACAAGAUAUUAGCUACACAAAUUCCCGUAACUAUCCUCUGUUUUCACGUAUCACCACCAUUGUCACCACCGCGGCACCGCCGCUUGUGCAACCUACUGCCACCAUAAACACCUCCUCUCAUUAACUAAAACAAUGUAAAACCAUUAUCCAUAAUGUAAAAGCUAAAUUGUAGCAACCCAUCGUCGAACCCGCAACCCGAAAGUCACAUUACCCCUCUCUCUUUCCUCACUGAUGCGGACCACCACCAUCACCGCCUAGGCGAAACCUUCUGCCUCCGUUCCUUCGACCACCACCUCCCUGUGUCACCCUAUUCGAGUUAUUGCUAAGUGUUAACUCACGCAAGUCUCUUAGCCUCACCUCUCCUUUUCUUGGUUCUGUUCGUACUUUAAUGUGAAGCCUUGAGAUUGGAUUUUCUUUGCCCAAACCCAAUUGAAUAAGUUGCUCAUAUUUUAAAACAAAAGUCAACUUUCCUUACCAACCACUUAAGCUAAAUUGGUGAUCGGAGCUCAGAAGAACGAUCCAUCGAACAGGAAGUAUAAACUACGGUUGAGGUACGAAGAAGAUCAUGGGAUGCCUUAGAGUGAGGAUGCAACCAUCAAAUUCACGAUCGAUGUUUAAUAAAGAUAACUAUGUCAUUAGUAAUAAAGGGAUGUAUUAAUUAAACUCUAAGUUUGAUUUCACGAUUUGAGUUAGAUUUUUAAAUUAAUGUCUAAACUUGUUAGAAAUAUUUAUUAAGGUUUACUUAGAUUUCAAUGUAAAUUUUAAAGAAUUAAUGGAAGUGAAGCAUAAUUACUGUUACUCAAUAGUAGUCAGUAAACGUAAAAAGGUUAUGUCGCCUUGUAUUUCCCACGAGGGAGAUACGGCAGUGACGCUCCGACUAAAUUAG
Molecule: long non-coding RNA, 1049 nt
Organism: Spinacia oleracea (spinach)
Lineage: Eukaryota; Viridiplantae; Streptophyta; Magnoliopsida; Caryophyllales; Amaranthaceae
Exons: 3
Source: RefSeq, a predicted model, not a curated record